AGUGAACGCUGGCGGUAGGCCUAACACAUGCAAGUCGAACGGCAGCACAGUAAGAGCUUGCUCUUACGGGUGGCGAGUGGCGGACGGGUGAGGAAUACAUCGGAAUCUACUUUUUCGUGGGGGAUAACGUAGGGAAACUUACGCUAAUACCGCAUACGACCUACGGGUGAAAGCAGGGGAUCUUCGGACCUUGCGCGAUUGAAUGAGCCGAUGUCGGAUUAGCUAGUUGGCGGGGUAAAGGCCCACCAAGGCGACGAUCCGUAGCUGGUCUGAGAGGAUGGUCAGCCACACUUGAACUGAGACACGGUCCAGACUCCUACGGGAGGGAGCAGGUGGGAAUAUUGGACCAAGGGCGGAAGCCCGAUCCAGGCAUACCGGGGUGGGUAAGAAGGCCUUCGGGUUUGAAAGGCCUUUUGGUGGGAAAGAAAAGCAGCCAGGUAAAUCCCCGGUGUUCUGACGGGACCCAAAGAAUAAGCAACCGCUUACUUCCUU
Molecule: ribosomal RNA, 492 nt
Filed under: uncultured bacterium
Lineage: Bacteria
Description: partial 16S ribosomal RNA
Rfam family: Bacterial small subunit ribosomal RNA
Source: RNAcentral